Molecule: ribosomal RNA, 253 nt
Filed under: uncultured bacterium
Lineage: Bacteria
Description: partial 16S ribosomal RNA
Rfam family: Bacterial small subunit ribosomal RNA
Source: RNAcentral
UACAGAGGUCUCAAGCGUUGUUCGGAUUCAUUGGGCGUAAAGGGUGCGUAGGCGGCGCGGUAAGUCGGGUGUGAAAUCUCGGGGCUUAACUCCGAAACUGCAUUCGAUACUGCGGUGCUUGAGGACUGGAGAGGAGACUGGAAUUCAUGGUGUAGCAGUGAAAUGCGUAGAGAUCAUGAGGAAGACCAGUGGCGAAGGCGGGUCUCUGGACAGUUCCUGACACUGAGGCACGAAGGCCAGGGGAGCAAACGGG